CAAUAGCGUAUAUUAAAGUUGUUGCGGUAAAAAAGCUCGUAGUUGGAUUUCUGUUGAGAGCGACCGGUCCAUACCAUGUAUGCGUAUCUGGCUUGCUCUCGGCAUCCCCUCGAUAGACGUUACUGCGCUUGAUUGCGUGGUGCGGAUCUCGGGACUUUUACUUUGAGGAAAUUAGAGUGUUCACGGCAGGCUUUCGCCAGAAUACAUUAGCAUGGAAUAAUACUAUAGGAUCUUGGUUCUAUUUUGUUGGUUUCUAGAAUUGAGAUAAUGAUUAAUAGGGACAAUUGGGGGCAUUCGUAUCAACACGUCAGAGGUGGAAUUCUUGGAUUGUGUUGCGACGAACUACUGCGAAAGCAUUUGCCAAGGAUGUUUUCAUUGA
Molecule: ribosomal RNA, 379 nt
Filed under: uncultured eukaryote
Lineage: Eukaryota
Description: partial 18S ribosomal RNA
Rfam family: Eukaryotic small subunit ribosomal RNA
Source: RNAcentral